UCUUGACUCCGCCCAGCUGCGCCACCUGGAAGCUACAAAUCUUCAGCAUUCUUCACUCUGUGAAGUCAGAGAAAUGGAGGCACCAUAGCUCUGAGCUCAUUGGCAAAUACAACUAAUUUCAAUUUCUGGAAUGGAAGCAGUCAGAUAUUCUUCUGACUGCACGCGUAUGUGGGAGGGCCAUGUCGAAGAGUGGAAAAUAUGGAAGAUCAGUCCCUACAAACUUAAUAGGAGAAUGACAUUCAGAUUUCCCAAGUAUUUUGCAUGUCCAGCUGAAAACUGAAGUAGGUUUAUGAGAGAAUGCACGCCUACCUGGAUGGGUCUGGGGAGUGUGUCACUGUCACCACAGAUAAUUGACAAGGGCUGAUCAAAUAGCGAUGCUUUCAAGUCUGUCUCCAAAGCCCCAGAAAAAUCUGAUGCAGGGGAGAGCCUUCUCAUGAGAAAGGGCCAGGACAGCACCUUCUUUCUCUUCUUAACUUCUACAGCCAAGAAAACAAGGCAACGAGAAAAAUUAGACUACAGUGUUAAUAAGCAAAGAUCCAGGUGACAACCUGCACGCCAGACAGAUGCAACUUCUGUUCGAAUCUGUA
Molecule: non-coding RNA, 587 nt
Filed under: Pongo abelii (Sumatran orangutan)
Lineage: Eukaryota; Metazoa; Chordata; Mammalia; Primates; Hominidae
Source: RNAcentral